CGUGCAGGUGGUUUGGUAAGUUGGGUAUGAAAUCUCCUGGCUUAACUGGGAGAGGUUGCUCAAAACUACCAGACUAGAGGACGGUAGAGGAAGGUGGAAUUCCCGGUGUAGUAGUGAAAUGCGUAGAUAUCGGGAGGAACACCAGUGGCGAAGGCGGCCUCCUGGGCCGUUCCUGACACUAAGACGCGAAAGCAUGGGUAGCAAACG
RNAcentral lists this ribosomal RNA (207 nucleotides) under uncultured bacterium. Its description in RNAcentral is "partial 16S ribosomal RNA". It matches the Rfam family "Bacterial small subunit ribosomal RNA", at positions 568 to 774 of the family's 1533-position model. The record is from RNAcentral.